AACGAACGCUGGCGGCGCGCCUAAUACAUGCAAGUCGAGCGAGAAGACGUAGCAAUACGUUUGUAAAGCGGCGAACGGGUGAGGAAUACAUGGGUAACCUACCCUCGAGUGGGGAAUAACUAGCCGAAAGGUUAGCUAAUACCGCGUACGCUCCUUGGACUUCGGUUCAGGGAGGAAAGCGAUACCGUGGGUAUCGCGCUCUUGGAUGGGCUCAUGUCCUAUCAGCUUGUUGGNGAGGUAACGGCUCACCAAGGCUUCGACGGGUAGCUGGUCUGAGAGGACGAUCAGCCACACUGGCACUGCGACACGGGCCAGACUCCUACGGGAGGCAGCAGUGGGGAAUCUUGCGCAAUGGGCGAAAGCCUGACGCAGCGACGCCGCGUGAGGGAUGACGGCCUGUGUAC
This 404-nucleotide ribosomal RNA is filed under the name uncultured bacterium. RNAcentral describes it as "bacterial SSU rRNA". It matches the Rfam family "Bacterial small subunit ribosomal RNA", at positions 29 to 423 of the family's 1533-position model. The record is from RNAcentral.